Molecule: transfer RNA, 85 nt
Filed under: Thermoplasmata archaeon
Lineage: Archaea; Methanobacteriati; Thermoplasmatota; Thermoplasmata
Also listed under: 1 other name
Description: tRNA-Leu
Rfam family: tRNA
About the family: Transfer RNA (tRNA) molecules are approximately 80 nucleotides in length. Their secondary structure includes four short double-helical elements and three loops (D, anti-codon, and T loops).
Source: RNAcentral
GCGAGGGUAGCCAAGCCUGGCCAACGGCGCUGUCUUGAGGGGGCAGUCCCGUAGGGGUUCCUGGGUUCAAAUCCCAGCCCUCGCA